Molecule: ribosomal RNA, 511 nt
Filed under: Phyllobaenus cf. intricatus NLG-2013
Lineage: Eukaryota; Metazoa; Arthropoda; Insecta; Coleoptera; Cleridae
Description: partial 16S ribosomal RNA
Rfam family: Archaeal large subunit ribosomal RNA
Source: RNAcentral
UGUCCUUUUGAUAAUAAUUUAAGGUCUAAUCUGCCCAAUGAUAAAAAUUUAAUGGCCGCGGUAUCUUGACCGUGCAAAGGUAGCAUAAUAAUUAGUUUCUUAAUUAGAAGCUGGAAUGAAAGAUUGGAUGAGAAAAUAACUGUCUCAAUAUAAUUUAUUUAGAAUUUUAUUUUUAAGUUAAAAAGCUUAAAUUUAAUUAAAAGACGAGAAGACCCUAUAGAGUUUAAUUUUAUUUUAAAGUAAAAAUUUAUUGAUUAAAAUUUUUUUAUUUUAAAAUAAAAUUUUGUUGGGGUGACAAAAAAAUUUAAUUAACUUUUUUUAUAUAAUAACAUUAAUUAAUGAAUAAUUGAUCCAAAAUUUUUGAUUAUAAGUUUAAAUUACCUUAGGGAUAACAGCGUAAUUUUUUUUAAGAGUUCUUAUCGAAAAAAAAGAUUGCGACCUCGAUGUUGGAUUAAAGUUAAAUUUUGGUGUAGAAGCUAAAAAUUUAGGUCUGUUCGACCUUUAAAACUUU